CCACUCGGGCGGGCUCGGAGCGGCGUUCUGAGCAGCGCCGUCUGCUGUCCUCCUUCACUGGCAGCUGUGACAGUGACCUGCUCAAGUUCAACCAGCUCAAGGUGAGGCAGGACCCCACCCAGGGUAGUGGGGUGGGGGGCAGCCUGCGGGACUGAGACCAGGGCUUUCACCUCUCCCCUCCUUCCCUCCCCCAGUUCCGGAAGAAGAAGCUCAAAUUCUGCAAGAGCCACAUUCACGACUGGGGCCUGUUCGCCAUGGAACCCAUCGCGGCUGACGAGAUGGUCAUUGAGUACGUGGGUCAGAACAUCCGCCAGGUGAUCGCGGACAUGCGGGAAAAGCGUUACGAGGACGAGGGCAUUGGCAGCAGCUACAUGUUCCGGGUGGACCACGACACCAUCAUCGAUGCCACCAAGUGCGGCAACUUUGCACGCUUCAUCAACCACAGCUGCAACCCCAACUGCUAUGCCAAGGUGAUCACGGUGGAGUCGCAGAAGAAGAUUGUCAUCUACUCGAAGCAGCACAUCAACGUCAACGAGGAGAUCACCUACGACUACAAGUUCCCCAUCGAGGACGUCAAGAUCCCCUGCCUGUGCGGCUCUGAGAACUGCCGGGGGACCCUCAACUAGGCCCCGCAGAAGGCUGCCCGUGCUGCUCUGGGGCUCCCGAGCGUGGACCCCAGGGCGCCGGGGCCCAGCCCCACCUCCCACCCCCAUUUCAGGUGCUGUCCCCUACCCAGCGGCCAUGUCAGGGCCUGGCGCCCCCAACACUACCCCCAGGACCCAGCGCAGCUCCAGCCCCUCAGUGGGAAAGGGCUUCUCUGUCUCUCAGCCCACGUCUCUUUGGUUUUUUAAAAUGCUCCCUUCAGGACUUUUGUUGAACUCCAGCGUAAACUUCUCUCUGUCCGUGUCUCUCACUCUCCAUCUAUAUGUCUCUGUCCUUCUCUUUUCCCAUCUUCUCCAUCAGCCUCUUCCCAUGAAUGCUGCUAUGUUGUUUUGUCUUCUCUUUACUCUCUUCCUCGUCAUAAGCUUCACCCGCUUGCCCCUAGCCCACACCCCAACUCCCCCUGCCAGCAGCCCCCUCCUCCCAAGAAGGCAAGAGUGUAUUUAUUUUUGGAGUGAGAAGAUUAUUCUCCCAGAGAAAGGAAAAUCUUGGAGAAGAUUUUAA
This 1164-nucleotide long non-coding RNA is filed under the name Ailuropoda melanoleuca (giant panda). Its description in RNAcentral is "lncRNA (ENSAMEG00000030365.1)". Lineage: Eukaryota; Metazoa; Chordata; Mammalia; Carnivora; Ursidae. The record is from RNAcentral.